GGGACUUCACUCUUGGCUGUUUCUGCCUGAAAGUGGAAGACAGACCUCUUUCAUCUCCUCUCUGCCGAAGAGAUUAUUGGUCUUGCUCAGAAGAGACUUAUCAGCAAUGUUAUUAUUAUCUACCCUUAGGGGAAGAUAAUUUUAUUUUCUGAAUUGUCUUUAUUUCAAAGCCUUCAAUCAAGAUAACUUAGAAUUAGGGAGACCCUAAUUCCCCUAUCUUCUUAACCUCUUCUUAACCCCUCUCCCCAAAGAAUAAAAGAUCCUUUAGUUAAAGUACUAGUUGUGGGAUUUGGUUAUUAGUGGGAAAAUUUUCAACUUACUACCUGUAAGAAGAUCUUCAUCUAGACAGUUGGGAAGAAAGAAACAGGAAGUAGUGUAGGGGAGGGGCCCAAGAUUCAGUCUCUUUCUUUUGUAUACUUUCUUGUGCAACAUCAAUAAUCCCCCACUAUAAUUCACCAAGUUUUCAUCUCUAGUACACUGUGUUGGCUCUAUCAAGAAUCAAGCAGCUCUUAAUAAUAAGAGACAUCCUCACCAAGGUCCUGGAGAGAAAGAGAUGAAAACUUCUCCCUCCGAAAAGAUGGCUUCUCCCAGGAUUUCUAUUUAAGGAAGGCACAAGGCUACCUUCCUGUAUUCCAAGCAGACAUGCAAUUCCACUGGGCCAAAUCAAUUUUUAAAAAGAACCUCAAAAUGACAGGAGUCAAAAACCAACAGUGAGACUGACUGAUGGGCCUCUCCCACUGAUCACAACUUGAAAGGAAGGAACCACAGACUUGGGGCUCCCAAACACUGUGAGCUAGAGGGUGGUCAGAGCCUUCUAGGAGAGGAGAUGGAAUUAACCUCAACCAGAAACAAUCCUCUUGACUCAUGAACCUGUAGGAGGAGAUGAACAGCUGAAGACCAAUAAGGAAGACACCCCUUGAAAUCUGUCAUGAAUGAAUGGGUCAGAGAAGAACCCAGAAACCUAUGACUAUGA
Molecule: long non-coding RNA, 973 nt
Filed under: Monodelphis domestica (gray short-tailed opossum)
Lineage: Eukaryota; Metazoa; Chordata; Mammalia; Didelphimorphia; Didelphidae
Description: lncRNA (ENSMODG00000044820.1)
Source: RNAcentral